RNAcentral lists this unclassified non-coding RNA (575 nucleotides) under Hevea brasiliensis (rubber tree). Lineage: Eukaryota; Viridiplantae; Streptophyta; Magnoliopsida; Malpighiales; Euphorbiaceae. The record is from RNAcentral.
UGUGACGGCCCGAGGUACUAGGUAUCUAGUGCUAGUAUAUUCAUUUAUCCAGUCUGGUCAGUGUAUAGGCUAUAUGAGCAGUCAUUUAAAACAUUAUUCAAUUCAGGAAGCUAAGUUAAGUAUAAUGAAAUUUCAGUACAAUUAAAUUAAGUAUUGAAUGAAUGAGUAAAAGAGAUUAGCAAAAGAAACAUAACAAAAAUAUAAAUUGCAGAACUGUAGAGACUUGAAAUACAAUACAAUUAGAAUAAUUUGUAUACUGGGUAGUAUUACUGAAAAGUUAUAAACUAAGCACUUCCAAAGAGGAACAAACUAAUAUAUAAGAUCAUUGUUACUAGAAAUGUCAUACCAAAUUAAAUUGUUUCUUGAGUAUAUGAAUUAUUAUUUAUUUCUUUCUUUAAUUGUAUGUAUUAUUUCUUGUUAUAUUAUUGCACCACUAAGCAGAAAUGCUUAGCGCGAUGGAAUUGCUUCCUCGCGCAGGUACUGAAGGUAAAAUCAGUAGACUGUCGACUGAGAUUUUUGGAGUUCAGAUCUGCAGAAGUGUCAAAAGAGUACAAGGUUGUCACCUCCUCAGCAAU